Molecule: long non-coding RNA, 208 nt
Filed under: Linum usitatissimum (flax)
Lineage: Eukaryota; Viridiplantae; Streptophyta; Magnoliopsida; Malpighiales; Linaceae
Description: long non-coding RNA (LUSI_LNC000100)
Source: RNAcentral
GCUCCAAAGGUCUUCUCGUGCCCUAGUGAACAAGAGGGAUUUCGAAGAUGAAGCGGACAACUACAUCAUACGCCAAAGGGAGAGCACAUCCAUGGGGGAAAAAAAGACUAACACCAUACUUUCAAGGAUCCUCCUGCUGAUCUUGAAUCGCUGGUGUCUUGUUCAGGACUAUCCCCCCUAGCUGUUCCAGAUUUUACUGGUGCAUUUU